UGAAGAGUUUGAUCAUGGCUCAGAUUGAACGCUGGCGGCAGGCCUAACACAUGCAAGUCGAGCGGAUGAGAAGAGCUUGCUCUUCGAUUCAGCGGCGGACGGGUGAGUAAUGCCUAGGAAUCUGCCUGGUAGUGGGGGACAACGUUUCGAAAGGAACGCUAAUACCGCAUACGUCCUACGGGAGAAAGCAGGGGACCUUCGGGCCUUGCGCUAUCAGAUGAGCCUAGGUCGGAUUAGCUAGUUGGUGAGGUAAUGGCUCACCAAGGCGACGAUCCGUAACUGGUCUGAGAGGAUGAUCAGUCACACUGGAACUGAGACACGGUCCAGACUCCUACGGGAGGCAGCAGUGGGGAAUAUUGGACAAUGGGGGCAACCCUGAUCCAGCCAUGCCGCGUGUGUGAAGAAGGCUUUCGGGUUGUAAAGCACUUUCAGUGAGGAGGAAAACUCUGCGACUAAUACUCGUAGGGCUUGACGUUACUCACAGAAGAAGCACCGGCUAACUCCGUGCCAGCAGCCGCGGUAAUACGGAGGGUGCAAGCGUUAAUCGGAAUUACUGGGCGUAAAGCGUGCGCAGGCGGUUUUGUAAGUCUGUUGUGAAAUCCCCGGGCUCAACCUGGGAACUGCAUUUGUGACUGUAUAGCU
RNAcentral lists this ribosomal RNA (642 nucleotides) under uncultured Pelagophyceae. RNAcentral describes it as "partial Bacterial small subunit ribosomal RNA". It matches the Rfam family "Bacterial small subunit ribosomal RNA", at positions 1 to 642 of the family's 1533-position model. The record is from RNAcentral. Lineage: Eukaryota; Pelagophyceae.